This 2926-nucleotide ribosomal RNA is filed under the name Escherichia coli. RNAcentral describes it as "partial 23S ribosomal RNA". It matches the Rfam family "Bacterial large subunit ribosomal RNA". Lineage: Bacteria; Pseudomonadati; Pseudomonadota; Gammaproteobacteria; Enterobacterales; Enterobacteriaceae. The record is from RNAcentral.
GGGUUGUGAGGUUAAGCGACUAAGCGUACACGGUGGAUGCCCUGGCAGUCAGAGGCGAUGAAGGACGUGCUAAUCUGCGAUAAGCGUCGGUAAGGUGAUAUGAACCGUUAUAACCGGCGAUUUCCGAAUGGGGAAACCCAGUGUGUUUCGACACACUAUCAUUAACUGAAUCCAUAGGUUAAUGAGGCGAACCGGGGGAACUGAAACAUCUAAGUACCCCGAGGAAAAGAAAUCAACCGAGAUUCCCCCAGUAGCGGCGAGCGAACGGGGAGCAGCCCAGAGCCUGAAUCAGUAUGUGUGUUAGUGGAAGCGUCUGGAAAGGCGCGCGAUACAGGGUGACAGCCCCGUACACAAAAAUGCACAUAUUGUGAGCUCGAUGAGUAGGGCGGGACACGUGGUAUCCUGUCUGAAUAUGGGGGGACCAUCCUCCAAGGCUAAAUACUCCUGACUGACCGAUAGUGAACCAGUACCGUGAGGGAAAGGCGAAAAGAACCCCGGCGAGGGGAGUGAAAAAGAACCUGAAACCGUGUACGUACAAGCAGUGGGAGCACGCUUAGGCGUGUGACUGCGUACCUUUUGUAUAAUGGGUCAGCGACUUAUAUUCUGUAGCAAGGUUAACCGAAUAGGGGAGCCGAAGGGAAACCGAGUCUUAACUGGGCGUUAAGUUGCAGGGUAUAGACCCGAAACCCGGUGAUCUAGCCAUGGGCAGGUUGAAGGUUGGGUAACACUAACUGGAGGACCGAACCGACUAAUGUUGAAAAAUUAGCGGAUGACUUGUGGCUGGGGGUGAAAGGCCAAUCAAACCGGGAGAUAGCUGGUUCUCCCCGAAAGCUAUUUAGGUAGCGCCUCGUGAAUUCAUCUCCGGGGGUAGAGCACUGUUUCGGCAAGGGGGUCAUCCCGACUUACCAACCCGAUGCAAACUGCGAAUACCGGAGAAUGUUAUCACGGGAGACACACGGCGGGUGCUAACGUCCGUCGUGAAGAGGGAAACAACCCAGACCGCCAGCUAAGGUCCCAAAGUCAUGGUUAAGUGGGAAACGAUGUGGGAAGGCCCAGACAGCCAGGAUGUUGGCUUAGAAGCAGCCAUCAUUUAAAGAAAGCGUAAUAGCUCACUGGUCGAGUCGGCCUGCGCGGAAGAUGUAACGGGGCUAAACCAUGCACCGAAGCUGCGGCAGCGACACUAUGUGUUGUUGGGUAGGGGAGCGUUCUGUAAGCCUGUGAAGGUGUGCUGUGAGGCAUGCUGGAGGUAUCAGAAGUGCGAAUGCUGACAUAAGUAACGAUAAAGCGGGUGAAAAGCCCGCUCGCCGGAAGACCAAGGGUUCCUGUCCAACGUUAAUCGGGGCAGGGUGAGUCGACCCCUAAGGCGAGGCCGAAAGGCGUAGUCGAUGGGAAACAGGUUAAUAUUCCUGUACUUGGUGUUACUGCGAAGGGGGGACGGAGAAGGCUAUGUUGGCCGGGCGACGGUUGUCCCGGUUUAAGCGUGUAGGCUGGUUUUCCAGGCAAAUCCGGAAAAUCAAGGCUGAGGCGUGAUGACGAGGCACUACGGUGCUGAAGCAACAAAUGCCCUGCUUCCAGGAAAAGCCUCUAAGCAUCAGGUAACAUCAAAUCGUACCCCAAACCGACACAGGUGGUCAGGUAGAGAAUACCAAGGCGCUUGAGAGAACUCGGGUGAAGGAACUAGGCAAAAUGGUGCCGUAACUUCGGGAGAAGGCACGCUGAUAUGUAGGUGAAGUCCCUCGCGGAUGGAGCUGAAAUCAGUCGAAGAUACCAGCUGGCUGCAACUGUUUAUUAAAAACACAGCACUGUGCAAACACGAAAGUGGACGUAUACGGUGUGACGCCUGCCCGGUGCCGGAAGGUUAAUUGAUGGGGUUAGCCGCAAGGCGAAGCUCUUGAUCGAAGCCCCGGUAAACGGCGGCCGUAACUAUAACGGUCCUAAGGUAGCGAAAUUCCUUGUCGGGUAAGUUCCGACCUGCACGAAUGGCGUAAUGAUGGCCAGGCUGUCUCCACCCGAGACUCAGUGAAAUUGAACUCGCUGUGAAGAUGCAGUGUACCCGCGGCAAGACGGAAAGACCCCGUGAACCUUUACUAUAGCUUGACACUGAACAUUGAGCCUUGAUGUGUAGGAUAGGUGGGAGGCUUUGAAGUGUGGACGCCAGUCUGCAUGGAGCCGACCUUGAAAUACCACCCUUUAAUGUUUGAUGUUCUAACGUUGACCCGUAAUCCGGGUUGCGGACAGUGUCUGGUGGGUAGUUUGACUGGGGCGGUCUCCUCCUAAAGAGUAACGGAGGAGCACGAAGGUUGGCUAAUCCUGGUCGGACAUCAGGAGGUUAGUGCAAUGGCAUAAGCCAGCUUGACUGCGAGCGUGACGGCGCGAGCAGGUGCGAAAGCAGGUCAUAGUGAUCCGGUGGUUCUGAAUGGAAGGGCCAUCGCUCAACGGAUAAAAGGUACUCCGGGGAUAACAGGCUGAUACCGCCCAAGAGUUCAUAUCGACGGCGGUGUUUGGCACCUCGAUGUCGGCUCAUCACAUCCUGGGGCUGAAGUAGGUCCCAAGGGUAUGGCUGUUCGCCAUUUAAAGUGGUACGCGAGCUGGGUUUAGAACGUCGUGAGACAGUUCGGUCCCUAUCUGCCGUGGGCGCUGGAGAACUGAGGGGGGCUGCUCCUAGUACGAGAGGACCGGAGUGGACGCAUCACUGGUGUUCGGGUUGUCAUGCCAAUGGCACUGCCCGGUAGCUAAAUGCGGAAGAGAUAAGUGCUGAAAGCAUCUAAGCACGAAACUUGCCCCGAGAUGAGUUCUCCCUGACUCCUUGAGAGUCCUGAAGGAACGUUGAAGACGACGACGUUGAUAGGCCGGGUGUGUAAGCGCAGCGAUGCGUUGAGCUAACCGGUACUAAUGAACCGUGAGGCUUAACCUUACAACGCCGAAG